RNAcentral lists this ribosomal RNA (492 nucleotides) under uncultured bacterium. RNAcentral describes it as "partial 16S ribosomal RNA". It matches the Rfam family "Bacterial small subunit ribosomal RNA", at positions 29 to 507 of the family's 1533-position model. The record is from RNAcentral.
AGUGAACGCUGGCGGUAGGCCUAACACAUGCAAGUCGAACGGCAGCACAGUAAGAGCUUGCUCUUACGGGUGGCGAGUGGCGGACGGGUGAGGAAUACAUCGGAAUCUACUUUUUCGUGGGGGAUAACGUAGGGAAACUUACGCUAAUACCGCAUACGACCUACGGGUGAAAGCAGGGGAUCUUCGGACCUUGCGCGAUUGAAUGAGCCGAUGUCGGAUUAGCUAGUUGGCGGGGUAAAGGCCCACCAAGGCGACGAUCCGUAGCUGGUCUGAGAGGAUGAUCAGCCACACUGGAACUGAGACACGGUCCAGACUCCUACGGGAGGCAGCAGUGGGGAAUAUUGGACAAUGGGCGCAAGCCUGAUCCAGCCAUACCGCGUGGGUAAAGAAGGCCUUCGGGUUGUAAAGCCCUUUUGUUGGGAAAGACAAGCAGCAGGUUAAUACCCCGCUGUUCUGACGGUACCCAAAGAAUAAGCACCGGCUAACUUCGUG